CCUACGGGAGGCAGCAGUGAGGAAUAUUGCACAAUGGGGGAAACCCUGAUGCAGCGACGCCGCGUGAGCGAUGACGUAUUUCUGUAUGUAAAGCUCUAUCAGCAGGGAAGAAGAUGACGGUACCUGACUAAGAAGCCCCAGCUAACUACGUGCCAGCAGCCGCGGUAAUCCGUAGGGGGCAAGCGUUAUCCGGAUUUACUGGGUGUAAAGGGGGCGUAGACGGCGCUGCAAGGCAGAUGUGAAAGCCCGGGGCUCAACCCCGGGACUGCCUUUGGAAAUGGGUGGCUGGAGUGUCGGAGAGGCAGGCGGAAUUCCUAGUGUAGCGGUGAAAUGCGUAGAUAUUAGGAGGAACACCAGUGGCGAAGGCGGCCUGCUGGACGAUGACUGACGUUGAGGCUCGAAAGCGUGGGGAGCAAACAGGAUUAGAUACCCGUGUAGUC
This 440-nucleotide ribosomal RNA is filed under the name uncultured bacterium. RNAcentral's name for it is "partial 16S ribosomal RNA". It matches the Rfam family "Bacterial small subunit ribosomal RNA", at positions 338 to 795 of the family's 1533-position model. The record is from RNAcentral.